GAUGAACGCUGGCGGCGUGCCUAAUACAUGCAAGUCGAGCGAACAGACGAGGAGCUUGCUCCUCUGACGUUAGCGGCGGACGGGUGAGUAACACGUGGAUAACCUACCUAUAAGACUGGGAUAACUUCGGGAAACCGGAGCUAAUACCGGAUAAUAUAUUGAACCGCAUGGUUCAAUAGUGAAAGACGGUUUUGCUGUCACUUAUAGAUGGUUCCGCGCCGCAUUAGCUAGUUGGUAAGGUAACGGCUUACCAAGGCAACGAUGCGUAGCCGACCUGAGAGGGUGAUCGGCCACACUGGAACUGAGCCCCGGUCCAGACUCCUACGGGAGGCCGCAGUAGGGAAUCUUCCGCAAUGGGCGAAAGCCUGACGGAGCAACGCCGCGUGAGUGAUGAAGGUCUUCGGAUCGUAAAACUCUGUUAUUAGGGAAGAACAAAUGUGUAAGUAACUAUGCACGUCUUGACGGUACCUAAUCAGAAAGCCACGGCUAACUACGUG
Molecule: ribosomal RNA, 497 nt
Filed under: uncultured bacterium
Lineage: Bacteria
Description: partial 16S ribosomal RNA
Rfam family: Bacterial small subunit ribosomal RNA
Source: RNAcentral